AACGAACGCUGGCGGCAUGCCUAACACAUGCAAGUCGAACGAGACCUUCGGGUCUAGUGGCGCACGGGUGCGUAACGCGUGGGAACCUGCCUUUAGGUUCGGAAUAACUCAGAGAAAUUUGAGCUAAUACCGGAUGAUGUCUUCGGACCAAAGAUUUAUCGCCUUUAGAUGGGCCCGCGUUGGAUUAGCUAGUUGGUGGGGUAAAGGCCUACCAAGGCGACGAUCCAUAGCUGGUCUGAGAGGAUGAUCAGCCACACUGGGACUGAGACACGGCCCAGACUCCUACGGGAAGCAGCAGUGGGGAAUAUUGGACAAGGGGCGAAAGCCUGAUCCAGCAAUGCCGCGUAAGUGAUGAAGGCCUUAGGGUUGUAAAGCUCUUUUACCCGAGAUGAUAAUGACAGUAUCGGGAGAAUAAGCUCCGGCUAACUCCGUG
RNAcentral lists this ribosomal RNA (433 nucleotides) under uncultured bacterium. RNAcentral's name for it is "partial 16S ribosomal RNA". It matches the Rfam family "Bacterial small subunit ribosomal RNA", at positions 29 to 507 of the family's 1533-position model. The record is from RNAcentral.